RNAcentral lists this ribosomal RNA (497 nucleotides) under uncultured bacterium. Its description in RNAcentral is "partial 16S ribosomal RNA". It matches the Rfam family "Bacterial small subunit ribosomal RNA", at positions 28 to 507 of the family's 1533-position model. The record is from RNAcentral.
GAUGAACGCUGGCGGCGUGCCUAAUACAUGCAAGUCGAGCGAACGGACGAGAAGCUUGCUUCUCUGAUGUUAGCGGCGGACGGGUGAGUAACACGUGGAUAACCUACCUAUAAGACUGGGAUAACUUCGGGAAACCGGAGCUAAUACCGGAUGAUAUUUUGAACCGCAUGGUUCAAAAGUGAGAGACGGUCUUGCUGUCACUUAUAGAUGGAUCCGCGCUGCAUUAGCUAGUUGGUACGGUAACGGCUUACCAAGGCAACGAUGCAUAGACGACCUGAGAGGCGGAUCGGCCACACUGGAGCUGAGACACGGUCAAGACUCCUGCGGGAGGCCGCAGUAGGGAAUCUUCCGCAAUGGGCGAAAGCCUGACGGAGCAACGCCGCGUGAGUGAUGAAGGUCUUCGGAUCGUAAAACUCUGUUAUUAGGGAAGAACAUAUGUGUACGUAACUGUGCACAUCUUGACGGUACCUAAUCAGAAAGCCACGGCUAACUACGUG